RNAcentral lists this long non-coding RNA (2273 nucleotides) under Mus musculus (house mouse). RNAcentral describes it as "long non-coding RNA chr4:45377442-45379715". Lineage: Eukaryota; Metazoa; Chordata; Mammalia; Rodentia; Muridae. The record is from RNAcentral.
GUAAGAAACUUCUACUUUAAAAAAAAAUAUUAUGUGAUCACAAUUCGGGGGCCAGGGGAACAUAUGCUUUUAAUUCCAGAAGUGGGGAUGCAGAGGCAGGAGGAUCUUCUGUGAGUUUGAGGUCAGCAGGUCUACAUAGUAAGGUUCUGGGCUAGCCAGAGUUAUACAGUAAGACCCUGCUUAUUAAAAAAAAAAAAAAAAGUCAUUUUUUUCCUCAGAACCCAAAACAUAUGUAUAUUUUAUUUUUUCUCCCCAUUGUAUUCCUAAGAAGGCAGCAUAGCAAAAAAUUUUAGAAAACAACACAAGGAAAAUAUAAAUUUCAUAUUCUCUACUCCUGCAUCGAGGACCAAAUCACAUUUUUUAAGGCUGUGCCCUCUAGAAGGUGAGAAUAAAGAAAUACAUCAAGAAUCUUUUAGAAGGUGGGUGUUUCUAAUACUGGAGUAUGCAGCAGUGUCCAUAAGAGUCUGUUACACUUGGCUUUUAUUUUUAUUUAUUUUUUGAGACAAGAUUUCUCUGUGUAGCCUUGGCUGUCUUAGAACUCACUUUGUUACCCAGGCUGGCCCACAACUCAGUUUCCCUUGCCUUUGCCUACCAAAUGCUGAGAUUAAAGGUAUGUACCUUUAAUCGCUGGCUUUCAUUUGGCUUUUAUGAAAGCAGGAGACAUGGCCUGAUAACUUCCUGAUGACAAUCAUCUUUAUCCUGUACCAGUGGUCUUGGUCCACUCAGUAACACCUUCUGUUGGUCAUGAAGGAAUCCAUAUAUAUGACUUCUGUUUAGAUAACUAAUGCAUAUCUUUUUAAGUGCCAAAAUUUAAAAAUUUCAGUUAUUUUUUUGAUGCAAGUCUCCUUAGGGAUGGUAGUCUACCUCCCUGCCUUUUUAAACAGCUUGCUCAGUCGAAUUCACUUCAUCAUGAAGUUAUAUUCAUGAUGUUUUAUUGCGCAUGCCCAGUGCGGUCUGGUCCACAUAAAACAGUAAAACAUUUCAUAGCACACAAAGGGCUAUAACAGAUUCGAGGAAUAUCCACCUAGUAAGUGAUUCCCUCAACGAUGGAAUUAUUUCCCUCAGUAUUAGCUUUAAAAAGUGUUUGAUGUCUGCAGAGUAAUGCAUUCUAUCAGUGUGCCUGUUUCUAACAGGCUCCCACUUUCUUCUGUGCUGUCUCCCAAGUUCUGGGCUGUGACAUGAACUGACCAGUUCUGGUCAGUGCCUACAAAAUAACUGGACCAAAGCUCCCAGUUAAAGGUGGGGCUCUAACCAAGUAAGGGGAGGAAGUAUGAGUAUACACUGCUGCUGCUGGAGUGGAGUGUGGUGAUGAUGAUGCCUCUGCAGGGAGGCAGGCCUUCAUCCUUUUAAGAGCAAAGAAGCGUGCAGAAGAGAAAGGAAGGAAAAGGAAAAUCGAGGUAGGCCGAAGACUCUGGGAGAUGGCACUGAAUAACCAUUAAAAUGUACUCUUGAUUACCAUGUUAAAGUCAGUUUAGUGACACUGUAGAGUAAGGCUGCACUAUGUGUACAUCCUCUGGAGAACUCGAGACUGUGUAUAUCCUGAGAACUGCACCCCUCCGAAUGGUAAUGGAAAUCAGCACCAAGAGGAAAGUCUCCAGUUUGCCUGUGUGCUGCUGUCUUGAGUUGUAAAUUACCUGAGAGAGGUUUAAUCAAAAGUCCCAGGGCCUGGAGAAACGGCUCAGCGGUUAAGAGCACUGGCUGCUCUUCCAGAGGUCCUGAGUUCAAUUCCCAGCAACCACAUGGUGGCUCACAACCAUCUGUAAUGGGAUCCAAUGCCCUCUUCUGGUGUGUCUGAAGACAGCUACAGUGUGCUCAUACAUAAUUAAUUUUAAAAAAAAAGUCCCAAGGAGCACAUCUCAUGCAGACAUUUUUUGAAUGUAUGUAUAUAUAAAUGUCACUGUAAGUGACGCUUACCCCUAAGAAUAAUAAAGUAACAUUCAGGAUUUAGAUCUGGUCCCAAUCUGUAUUUUCCCCUAUACAAAGAAUAGAUGUUUGAAUUUUCUUUUAAAUUUGGCUGCAUCCUUCAUUUCCAAACUCUGCUUCUUUUUUUGGGGGCGGGGGGCACAAAACUUUAGGUUUGUAUUUUUGGCAAGCUUGGAAUAUUCUAGUUAAUAUGCUGUCAGCUAGAACACUCUCUUAGCAGGUUCUAAGGUGCUAUUGGGUCUUCUGCUAGACUGUGCGCUCCUUGAGGGCAGGGCUAUCUUUAUUCUUGUAUCCACGGUGCCUGGGAUAGUAUCUGACAGAGUAGUUGUUCAAUAAAUAUCUGUUGAAUG